CUGAUGUCCUGACAUUUUAUCCUACCCCUCAGAUUAUACUGCCAACACUGCAUUUAAAUGGUUCUGAGGUUUGGGUUAGGGAUAAAGUCGUUACAAUAUUACAGCUUCAUAUCACAUUAAUCCACAUUAAAAUUAACACUGGUAGCCGAAUCUGAUGGGUAGCAUGUUGCGUCAUCGAAAUGUGCUACCUGCUUUUUGAAUAAGAGGUAGGACAAUCUGACAAGGUAGGACAAAUUGACAGAACACCAG
RNAcentral lists this long non-coding RNA (249 nucleotides) under Danio rerio (zebrafish). RNAcentral's name for it is "lncRNA si:dkey-186k21.2 (ENSDARG00000096868.2)". Lineage: Eukaryota; Metazoa; Chordata; Actinopteri; Cypriniformes; Danionidae. The record is from RNAcentral.